RNAcentral lists this long non-coding RNA (1282 nucleotides) under Capra hircus (goat). RNAcentral describes it as "lncRNA (ENSCHIG00010005028.1)". The record is from RNAcentral. Lineage: Eukaryota; Metazoa; Chordata; Mammalia; Artiodactyla; Bovidae.
CUCUAAACGAAAGACAUGAGGCCUAAGACUGAAAUGAGGUUGUUUUGAGGUCAUCUGAUUUCUGGCUAGACGGUGUGCGAUCGCCUCGUCCUGAAACCACUGCAGACAGAAUGGUUUGCAAUUUUUUUUGGUGAUGGCAUGUUCAGAAUCUUGGAUCCCUAAGUUGAAUAUGUUGGAAAUAUUUAGGAACUCUGGAAAUUGUUGUUUUUGUAUAUAUAAUGACUUACUAGGUAAAUCAAUAGAUUUAAUAAAACAUGUAGAAGAAUAGGCAUUAUAAUUUUGUAUUUCUAAGUUAGCACGCAUGUCUCAAAUUCUCAGCUGUUAGUAUCAGUGUCAUACUCUGGAGACAGCUGUCUUGUGAAGAUUCGCUGUUUCUAUGGACCGUGUAUUUUCCCAGGCAGUUUAUAAUAAUCUUCCCAUGCCAAUUUGAUCAGCUCUUUUGCCUUUCUCUCUACCUCAUGCAGUGUCGCUUCCUUAGUCAGAGGUGAUUCUCGAUCAGGAGGAGAAAGAGGAAAUAAUUGUCAGGCGANAGUCCCAAAGGUAGUAAUUACAAACCUGCAACCUGGAAAUGGCCUCGGCAUGGUCAUAGCAGGACAUGCAAAUCCUGCCCGGCGUAUCCAGAUACAGCAGUGGCAAGAUGCUGCCAGUUUCCAAAUCAGAUGCCAUCCUGUGGGGUGGAAGUGCCCAUAAGGAGGGAAAGGAGCCGCUCGGUUUCGCCUGCCUCUCUCUCCCUGUUGCUGAAUGAAUGAAUUAGGAAAGGAAAAUGGCCAUGAAACAGGCUGUGCGAAUGGAGAGGGGAAGGAGCAAGACUUGGCUCUCCAAGAAGGACUGUUUCUCUUAGAAAGGGAAGGCUGCCUGUAUUCCACGUGCCCUGUUUUAAAACUGAGGGCGACUCUGAGGUAGACCCAGAGUGUGAACUAGGGCAUUCUCAACCAAAGGGAUGGGUGGAGAGCUGGCGUUUGAUAGGAGGACCAGGCAUUCUUUGGGCGACUGGAGUACCAUGACUGGUGGUUGUCCUCUCUGGCCUGUUCCUGCUGGGAUUGAAAGAUACCCUGUUUGGAAGAUCAGAAGAAAGCUUUGGAUCAUUCCCACAACAAAACUACGGUUUCUGAGUGUAGAGGUUGGCUGUCAUCCAGGAAGCCCUGAUCUUAAAGACCAUCUUCACUUUACACCUGACCUUGUUCCGGCUUUGUUGUCACUCCCCAUCAGUAGUUGUCUGUCACCUUUGAAUGGAGCUCCAGAUCCUGAAGGAUACUUACCGCCUUACACACUGAACUCUUGA